UACGUAGGGGGCAAGCGUUGUCCGGAAUUAUUGGGCGUAAAGAGCGUGUAGGCGGUCCGGUAAGUCAGCUGUGAAAGUCAAGGGCUCAACCCUUGAAAGCCGGUGGAUACUGUCGGGCUCGAGUCCGGAAGAGGCGAGUGGAAUUCCUGGUGUAGCGGUGGAAUGCGCAGAUAUCGGGAGGAACACCAGUGGCGAAGGCGACUUCCUGGCCUGUUCUUGACGCUGAGGCGCGAAAGCUAGGGGAGCAAACGGG
Molecule: ribosomal RNA, 253 nt
Filed under: uncultured bacterium
Lineage: Bacteria
Description: partial 16S ribosomal RNA
Rfam family: Bacterial small subunit ribosomal RNA
Source: RNAcentral